Molecule: non-coding RNA, 1239 nt
Organism: Lactuca sativa (garden lettuce)
Lineage: Eukaryota; Viridiplantae; Streptophyta; Magnoliopsida; Asterales; Asteraceae
Source: RefSeq, a predicted model, not a curated record
GUCAGUUAUGUACGAUAUCCACUAAGAACACCUCAAACUGUUCAUGAGUCAACUGGUUCUUCCACCAGCAGUACUACUCGUAGAAAUUCAAUCGAGAACAGCAACAAGAAAAAUGAUCCUGCAAUGUUUCGUAAGCUGGAUCGCAAGAAGCCAAAUGAUCAAAAACUAAACAUUGCAGUUUCUCUGCCUCCAAUUCUUGUCUCUAACAAUGAAGAUCAUCUCAAGCUUAAACCAGUGACGAAACACGUCAUCUUCAAUGAAAUUUCAGAUGAAAAAAUGCACGAAUCACUAUAUCAUGAAGAAAGGUCAAGCUCCAAAGUUGCAGAGAUCAUUGACAACUACAGUAUCAACUUAAUCCAACAAGAAUCCGAGGACUUAUAUGUGAUCCGCAAUCAGCUUCUUCAAAUCAAAACCCAACAGUCCAAUUAAUUCGAUCUCCUCAAGAAAUAUAUUCGGAGCUCACAGAAUGGGAUAUGAUCAUUGGAGUCUCGUGUACACGGACUCGAGUCAACACUUGAUGAAAUUUCAUUUGAUUUGGCAAAGUCAACCGGAAGAAUCUCAAAUCCCGAAACUACCCUCGGAUACUAAAGCCUCUCCCAAAUCAGAAGUGUAACUGUUAUUCUUGGCUCUGAUUUCUGCUUCUCCAGUUUUGAGGAAUUAAACCGAAAACUCAAAGCCUAUGAAAGGUGAUCGUACCUGUAUUAGCAGCUAAACAAACAUUUUAGGUUCUGCAGUUUUAUAACUCAAAAGUUGAUGUUUUUUUGUUCAUUAUUAAUUGAAAGUAGAUGCUUAAUUGCAGCAUUUGAAUGUCGAAACAAUUAAUGACCAUUUUACCCUUUUUUUUCUGGAAUUAAACUUAAAUACAACUGACAAUAAAAUUAACCCUUAAUUCAUGUUUUUUUUUCAUCAUCUAAAUGUAUGCCUUAUUUCACAUUUUUUGGCAGAUAAAAUUGCGGUCAAAGUCAACUAAUUAUAUUGUUAAAAUGAUUGCUUUUUCGCUUUCCCACUUAAGGAGACAUGGUCAAGACCUCCAAUCUUCGCUAACUAAGGAUAUGAACUUUUUGUGAGCCAGUUGAAGAUAUGUAGGGUUGCAUGGUGCGAAAUACAAAAUGGAUGUCACAACUUUUUAAAAUUUAUGUUAUAAAUUGUUGGCAGGAACAAUUAAGUGAUGAAAAAUUUAAGGCAAAAGAAGAAGAUGAAGAUUCAGCUCAAAAAAUGGCCAGAGUUAUACAAAGAAUA